Molecule: ribosomal RNA, 301 nt
Filed under: uncultured bacterium
Lineage: Bacteria
Description: partial 16S ribosomal RNA
Rfam family: Bacterial small subunit ribosomal RNA
Source: RNAcentral
CAGCCGCCGCGGUAAUACGUAGAGUGCAAGCGUUAAUCGGAAUUACUGGGCGUAAAGCGUGCGUAGGUGGUGGUUUAAGUCCGUUGUGAAAGCCCUGGGCUCAACCUGGGAAUUGCAGUGGAUACUCGAUCACUAGAGUGUGGUAGAGGAUAGUGGAAUUUCCGGUGUAGCAGUGAAAUGCGUAGUGAUCGGAAGGAACAUCUGUGGCGAAGGCGACUAUCUGGGCCAACACUGACACUGGGGCACGAAAGCGUGGGGAGCAAACAGGAUUAGAUACCCGGGUAGUCCCUGUCUCUUAUAC